GAUGAACGCUGGCGGCGUGCCUAAUACAUGCAAGUCGAGCGAACAGACGAGGAGCUUGCUCCUCUGACGUUAGCGGCGGACGGGUGAGUAACACGUGGAUAACCUACCUAUAAGACUGGGAUAACUUCGGGAAACCGGAGCUAAUACCGGAUAAUAUAUUGAACCGCAUGGUUCAAUAGUGAAAGACGGUUUUGCUGUCACUUAUAGAUGGAUCCGCGCCGCAUUAGCUAGUUGGUAAGGUAACGGCUUACCAAGGCAACGAUGCGUAGCCGACCUGAGAGGAUGAUCGGCCACACUGGAACUGAGACACGGUCCAGACUCCUACGGGAGGCAGCAGUAGGGAAUCUUCCGCAAUGGGCGAAAGCCUGACGGAGCAACGCCGCGUGAGUGAAGAAGGUCUUCGGAUCGUAAAACUCUUUUAUUGGGGAAGAACAAAAGUGUAAGUAAAUAUGCACGUCUUGACGGUACCUAAUCAGAAAGCCACGGCUAACUACGUG
Molecule: ribosomal RNA, 497 nt
Filed under: uncultured bacterium
Lineage: Bacteria
Description: partial 16S ribosomal RNA
Rfam family: Bacterial small subunit ribosomal RNA
Source: RNAcentral